This 253-nucleotide ribosomal RNA is filed under the name uncultured bacterium. Its description in RNAcentral is "partial 16S ribosomal RNA". It matches the Rfam family "Bacterial small subunit ribosomal RNA", at positions 524 to 776 of the family's 1533-position model. The record is from RNAcentral.
UACGGAGGGUGCAAGCGUUAUCCGGAUUCACUGGGUUUAAAGGGUGCGUAGGCGGUUAUGUAAGACAGGUGUGAAAUCCCCGGGCUUAACCUGGGAACUGCAUUUGUGACUGCAUAGCUAGAGUACGGUAGAGGGGGAUGGAAUUCCGCGUGUAGCAGUGAAAUGCGUAGAUAUGCGGAGGAACACCGAUGGCGAAGGCAAUCCCCUGGACCUGUACUGACGCUCAUGCACGAAAGCGUGGGGAGCAAACAGG